GAAAUGCGAUAAGUAAUGUGAAUUGCAGAAUUCAGUGAAUCAUCGAAUCUUUGAACGCACAUUGCGCCCUUUGGUAUUCCGAAGGGCAUGCCUGUUCGAGCGUCAUUUCACCACUCAAGCCUGGCUUGGUAUUGGGCGUCGCGGUUCGUCCGCGCGCCUCAAAGUCUCCGGCUGAGCUGUCCGUCUCUAAGCGUUGUGAUCCAUAUUCGCUUCGGAGUGCGGGCGGCCGCGGCCGUUAAAUCUUUCACAAGGUUGACCUCGGAUCAGGUAGGGAUACCCGCUGAACUUAA
RNAcentral lists this unclassified non-coding RNA (290 nucleotides) under uncultured Dothideomycetes. RNAcentral describes it as "sequence contains ITS1". The stretch from base 1 to 105 matches the Rfam family "5.8S ribosomal RNA", at positions 50 to 154 of the family's 154-position model. Lineage: Eukaryota; Fungi; Ascomycota; Dothideomycetes. The record is from RNAcentral.